UCGAACGAGAAAGCCCGCAAGGGUGAGUAAAGUGGCGCACGGGUGAGUAACACGUGGGUAAUCUGCCUCUGGGUGGGGAAUAACUCUGGGAAACCGGAGCUAAUACCGCAUAAUCCUGAGAAGGAAAAGGAGAAAUCCGCCGAGAGAGGAGCCCGCGGCCGAUUAGCUGGUUGGUGAGGUAAAAGCUCACCAAGGCAAUGAUCGGUAGCCGGCCUGAGAGGGCACACGGCCACACUGGCACUGAAACACGGGCCAGACUCCUACGGGAGGCAGCAGUGGGGAAUCUUGCACAAUGGGGGAAACCCUGAUGCAGCGACGCCGCGUGAGCGAUGAAGCCCUUCGGGGUGUAAAGCUCUUUCGGCAGGGACGAUAAUGACGGUACCUGAAGAAGAAGCUGCGGCUAACUACGUGCCAGCAGCCGCGGUAAUACGUAGGCAGCGAGCGUUG
This 447-nucleotide ribosomal RNA is filed under the name uncultured bacterium. RNAcentral's name for it is "bacterial SSU rRNA". It matches the Rfam family "Bacterial small subunit ribosomal RNA", at positions 62 to 543 of the family's 1533-position model. The record is from RNAcentral.